RNAcentral lists this long non-coding RNA (1754 nucleotides) under Aquilegia coerulea. Its description in RNAcentral is "long non-coding RNA (ACOE_LNC000106)". The record is from RNAcentral. Lineage: Eukaryota; Viridiplantae; Streptophyta; Magnoliopsida; Ranunculales; Ranunculaceae.
UCUUCCCAACAAAAAAAAAAUAAAAAACAAUAUUAUCUCUUCUCUUACUGCAACAAAUCUCUCUCUCUCUCCCUCUCUCUCUCUGUAUCGUCCUCCACGAUUCCACCUGCUCGAUCAAAUCUACUCAAUAAAUCUCUCAAUCAACUAUUAAAACGAUCAUCUUCCUUCAUUAAAAUACCUUCUGGAUCAAAUACCAAGCCUUCUAGACAAUAUCAAUCUCCAUGAUUUAUGAGGUACAAAUUCUUUGUCUUAACUGAAUCUAUAAUCUGUUAAUUUCCUUUGACCAUGGUAUACUUUGUAAACUGGCGUUUGAUGAUUUCUUUAACAUGUUAAUCUAAUCAACUAACUCUGCUACUCUAAGACCGAAAACGAACAAUUCAUCUUAAUUUCUUCUAAACUCUUCGACUAAGAUGCAUGGGGUAAACGAUAGUAUCAGAUAAUAAAAGGCAGCAUACUUUAUUUGUAUAUCGGUAAUUCCCUUUGUGAGAUAAUUUCUUAAUAACUUAUAAAUACCUCUAGCUUCAAGAAGAAAUUAAUUUGUGAUCCUGCGAUGGGUUUGAUAGAUUGUUUUACAGGCAUUGGAACAAUGUACUUUUGAAAAUGCAGCCCUUGAGGCAAAAUGGAUCUCUGAAUUAUCAGAGUAAGAGAAAUGGUAGAAAAGAGUGUUGCAGAUCUGAAAUUCAUUAUUACUGAUGAGCCGUCUAUUGAUUGGGUGAAGUCUUUUUCAGUGAGUUUUCUUUAUAUAUUUCAACCUUUGAUCUUGAAUAUUCAAUUGACAGUGUGCCAUAAAUGAUAUUAAUGUUAUAUAACAUCAACCAGUCAUGUUUUUUUCCUCUCCAGGUAUACACUGUAAGAACCCAACCGUUCUUUCUGGGUUAAUGUACAUGGAUAGAAAACUAAAUGGGAACAAUACCCAUAGCUUCAUUACUGUCCCUGAGGCGAAGUGCAUUUGAUUCGAGUUGGAGAAGUAUUCCAGCUGCGUGAAAGUCGCAAACUCACAAGCCUCCCUUAUUCACGGUUGGCCAGAUCAGUCUCUCUAAAGUUGGGAGCAUGGGGUUUGAGAGAAUCAACCUCUUGGGGGCAGUUCCUUUGGAUGAUUUCAGGGUCAUCCUAGGAAUGGGCUUCCUUCGCCAAACAAAGGCCUGUAAAAUGUGUUCGUAAAUCAUAGCGGUCUUUUUUUUCCGGGUAUAUACAUCCAUCGAUCUCUUCUCGGGUGGAUAAAAUAGCACAUAAAAAUAGUCCAUUUUUUCGUUUGUUUUUGGUUAUUUGUUGAAUCAACACUUAUUUACUUACCUGAUAGUAGUUCAAAAAUCCAACAUUAGAGAAACACAAUGAUUUAUCACUUAAACUGAUGUGUUCCACAUCAAAAACAAUUCUAUAUUUUUUGUGCAAUUCAAUAGAUGGAGCAUGGAAGAUAUUGUUUCUGGUGAUGGAUGUGCUUCAAUUCAAAUGAGACAAUUACCCAUUAAACUGAGGCUUGAAAACUGAAAGGGGGGAGGAUAUAUAGAUUCCAAUAGGAAUGUUGAACACUAGGGAGUAGGGAGAGUGCACAGCUUGAUUGUGGCAGCUGAAUUACAUACAACUAAAUUGUUGAACUUCGGAAUUUAUUUUCUCUCAAAUUGAUGUAAGGAUGAAAAUCCUACUAUUUCUAAUAUAAGUUGAGCAGUUUCUAAAUCAAUUCAAUAGUUGGCGAUCAUGUUUUGAGUAGUUAUGCAUGCCAUGCACGUCCAAUAUCUUGAACGAGAUCAUUUUUA